This 513-nucleotide ribosomal RNA is filed under the name uncultured Bacteroides sp. RNAcentral's name for it is "bacterial SSU rRNA". It matches the Rfam family "Bacterial small subunit ribosomal RNA", at positions 8 to 507 of the family's 1533-position model. The record is from RNAcentral. Lineage: Bacteria; Pseudomonadati; Bacteroidota; Bacteroidia; Bacteroidales; Bacteroidaceae.
AGAGUUUGAGUCCUGGCUCAGGAUGAACGCUAGCUACAGGCUUAACACAUGCAAGUCGAGGGGCAGCAUGAAAGUUUUGCUUGCAAACUUUUGAUGGCGACCGGCGCACGGGUGAGUAACACGUAUCCAACCUGCCUCAUACUCGGGGAUAGCCUUUCGAAAGAAAGAUUAAUACCCGAUGUCAUAGUCCUACCGCAUGAUGGGAUUAUUAAAGAAUUUCGGUAUGGGAUGGGGAUGCGUUCCAUUAGUUAGUUGGCGGGGUAACGGCCCACCAAGACAACGAUGGAUAGGGGUUCUGAGAGGAAGGUCCCCCACAUUGGAACUGAGACACGGUCCAAACUCCUACGGGAGGCAGCAGUGAGGAAUAUUGGUCAAUGGACGAGAGUCUGAACCAGCCAAGUAGCGUGAAGGAUGACUGCCCUACGGGUUGUAAACUUCUUUUAUAUGGGAAUAAAAUGUUCCACGUGUGGGAUUUUGUAUGUACCAUAUGAAUAAGGAUCGGCUAACUCCGUG